RNAcentral lists this ribosomal RNA (892 nucleotides) under Triadelphia loudetiae. RNAcentral's name for it is "LSU rRNA". It matches the Rfam family "Eukaryotic large subunit ribosomal RNA", at positions 38 to 964 of the family's 3401-position model. Lineage: Eukaryota; Fungi; Ascomycota; Sordariomycetes. The record is from RNAcentral.
GCAUAUCAAUAAGCGGAGGAAAAGAAACCAACAGGGAUUGCCUCAGUAACGGCGAGUGAAGCGGCAACAGCUCAAAUUUGAAAUCUGGCCUUCGGGCCCGAGUUGUAAUUUGCAGAGGAUGCUUUGGGCAAGGCGCCGUCCGAGUUCCCUGGAACGGGACGCCGGAGAGGGUGAGAGCCCCGUACGGUCGGACGCCGAGCCUAUGUAAAGCUCCUUCGACGAGUCGAGUAGUUUGGGAAUGCUGCUCUAAAUGGGAGGUAAAUCUCUUCUAAAGCUAAAUAUGGGCCACAGACCGAUAGCGCACAAGUAGAGUGAUCGAAAGAUGAAAAGCACUUUGAAAAGAGAGUUAAACAGCACGUGAAAUUGUUGAAAGGGAAGCGCUUGCGACCAGACGUGUGCCGGGUGAAUCAGCCAGCGUUCGCGCUGGUGCACUUCGCCCGGCACAGGCCAGCAUCGGUUCGCCGCUGGGGAGAAAGGCAGUGGGAAUGUGGCUCUUCGGAGUGUUAUAGCCCGCUGUGCAAUACCCUCUGGCGGACCGAGGUUCGCGCUCCGCAAGGAUGCUGGCGUAAUGGUCAUCAGCGACCCGUCUUGAAACACGGACCAAGGAGUCGUCCUAGUAUGCGAGUGUUUGGGUGCCAAACCCCUACGCGAAAUGAAAGUGAACGGAGGUGAGAGCUUCGGCGCAUCAUCGACCGAUCCUGAUGUCUUCGGAUGGAUUUGAGUACGAGCAUACUGGGCCGGACCCGAAAGAAGGUGAACUAUGCCUGUAUAGGGUGAAGCCAGAGGAAACUCUGGUGGAGGCUCGCAGCGGUUCUGACGUGCAAAUCGAUCGUCAAAUAUGGGCAUGGGGGCGAAAGACUAAUCGAACCUUCUAGUAGCUGGUUUCCGCCGA